Molecule: transfer RNA, 72 nt
Filed under: Gemmataceae bacterium
Lineage: Bacteria; Pseudomonadati; Planctomycetota; Planctomycetia; Gemmatales; Gemmataceae
Rfam family: tRNA
About the family: Transfer RNA (tRNA) molecules are approximately 80 nucleotides in length. Their secondary structure includes four short double-helical elements and three loops (D, anti-codon, and T loops).
Source: Rfam by way of RNAcentral
GCGUUCGUGAGGUCAACGGUAGCCUGCCUGGUUUCCACCCAGGUCGCGCGGGUUCGAACCCCGCCGGACGCU